RNA transcript from Telopea speciosissima, 3116 nucleotides. It is a transcript of the gene named pentatricopeptide repeat-containing protein At1g71460, chloroplastic, with no coding region annotated. The record is from RefSeq and is a predicted model, not a curated record. The transcript is spliced from 4 exons. Lineage: Eukaryota; Viridiplantae; Streptophyta; Magnoliopsida; Proteales; Proteaceae.
AUGUGGCAGAUUUUGGGCAAGAGAAACACCCAGUCCCGCCAUGGAAGGAAGAUCCUCUUCGUCUCUCCUCCUAACCAACCCGGUACCAUUUCCCGCCAAAACCCACCCUAAAUCAUCUCCCAAUCUUCAACUUGACCAUCCACGUCCAUACCCUCUCAACUGCUUCAUCAAAACAAAGAUAUCAUCAGUAGCAUCUCCACUGACUCAGAUCCAAACUAACCCCAAUCAGCACACCAAGCCCUUCAAAUCUCCCUCCAGGAAACGGAGAUUCACAGAGAAAGAUGCAUUCCCGUUGUCUUUACCCCUCCACACAAAGAAUCCACAUGUCAUCUAUGAAGACAUCAAGAGAUUCGCUCGGCAAGGGAAGCUCAAGGAAGCCCUCACCAUCUUGGAUUACUUGGAGCAGCAAGGCAUCCCAGUUAACGCAACCACUUUCUCUUCGCUCCUUGCGGCUUGUGUUCGAUCCAAGUCUCUCGUUGAAGGUAGGCAAAUCCAUGCCUUUAUCCGGAUAAAUGGGCUGGAGGACAACGAUUUCCUCCGGACAAAACUGGUUCACAUGUACACAUCAUGCGGCUCCAUUGAAGACGCGAAGAGGGUAUUCGCUGACCUCCCACAUGGGAGCGUCUAUCCAUGGAAUGCCUUACUCAGAGGCAAUGUAGUUAGAGGCGGGCGGCAAUAUCGUGAAGUACUCGCUACGUAUACGAAAAUGCGGGAGUUAGGAGUUGAGUUGAACGUCUACACCUUCUCUUGUUUGCUGAAGAGCUUUGCAGGUUCCACUGCAUUCACCCAGGGGAUGAAGACUCAUGCCUUUUUGAUCAAGAAUGGGUUUGCCAGUAACUCCAUUAUUCUUCAGACUAGUUUGAUCGAUUUGUACUUCAAAUGCGGCAAGAUUAAGCUGGCGCGCCAAGUGUUUGAGGAAAUUCCAGAGAAAGAUGUUGUGGUGUGGGGGGCGAUGAUUGCAGGUUUUGCACAUAAUAGGUUGCAAAGGGAUGCAGUGACAUACUUAAGGAAAAUGAUAGGGCAGGGGAUUGAACCGAAUUCAGCUAUUCUGACGAUGAUCCUUCCCGUAAUUGGAGAAUUAUGGGCCCGGAAAUUGGGCCGGGAAGUUCACAGCUAUGUGAUCAAAACAAAGGAUUAUGCAAAGCAUUUGUUCAUUCAGUCUGCGUUGAUUGAUAUGUAUUGCAAGUGUGGAGACAUGGUAUCAGGAAGGCAGGUCUUCUAUAGCUCAAUGGAAAGGAAUGCUGUUUCAUGGACUGCGCUCAUGUCAGGUUAUGUAUCAAAUGGGAGGCUUGAGCAAGCUCUGAGGUCUAUAAUUUGGAUGCAGCAAGAAGGAGUGAAGCCUGAUGUCGUGACAAUUGCAACUGUUCUUCCUGUUUGUGCAGAGCUGAAAGCGCUAAAACAGGGGAAAGAGAUUCAUGGAUAUGUGGUGAAGAAUUAUUUUCUACCCAAUGUGUCUUUAAUUACCUCUUUAAUAGGUUUGUACUCUAAGUGUGGUGGUUUAGAAACUUGUUGCAAGUUGUUUGAUGGAAUGGAAAAGAGGAAUGUGAUCUCAUGGACAGCAAUGAUAGAUGCAUACUUGAGUAACCACCAUCUUCAUGAAGCACUGGGUGUAUUUCGGUCAAUGCAGCUUUCUAAGCAUAGGCCAGAUUCCGUUGCUGUAGGAAGGAUUCUUAGUGCUUGUGGUGAACUGGGGAAUCUGAAACUUGGGAAAGAGUUACAUGGAUAUGUCUUAAAGAGAGAUUUUGAAUUGAUCCCUUUUAUCAGUGCAGAGAUUGUGAAAAUGUAUGGCAAGUGUCGAGUAAUUGAGAAAGCAAAGUUGGUAUUUGAUACCAUGCCUUCUAAAGGAUCCAUGGUAUGGACUGCAAUUAUCGAGGUAUAUGGAUAUAACAAUAUAUAUAGAGAUGCACUCGAUCUCUUUAAUCAAAUGAGAUCUGAUGGUUUCAGUCCAAACAAGUACACUUUUAAUGUGGUCUUAUCUAUUUGUGGUCAAGCUGGAUUUGCUGACGAGGCUUGCAAAAUAUUUAAUUGUAUGACACGGAGAUACAAUAUCAAGCCAUCGGAAGAACAUUUUUCCAUCAUAAUUGAACUUCUUAAACGUACUGGAUGGUCCGAGGAAGCCCAAAGAUUUAUCCGUAUGAAAUUUCCUGAGGCAUGAAGAGGAGGGAAGGGCCAAUUUACUUUAUUACUCAUUCACUUUACUCAUAAUAAUAAAAAGUGGGCAGAAGUGAAGGUGAAUUAUGGUUUAAAGUGCAAGAUGAUUUUUGAAAUAUAUUGCAUCCUCUCCUUUGUUCCCCUACCGUCAUCCCCUCUUCCCUAAAAAGUAGUAAAAUAUGUUAGUCUCCUCCUACUUGGAAUAUCCAUUUGGUUUCUCAAGAUCUUUACUUGACAGAAAAUGUUUCUGCUGCAAUAAGGUGAUCUCUGAUGGAUAAGCUCCAACUCCCUAACCUUCCUUUCUGGUCUGGUGCAGCAGCCUUAUGAAGGAACUGAUUGAUAUUGAGUUUCAAAUGGACUCUCCUGAAAUUAUGAAGAGUAUAUCAAACAUGAUUUGAGAUGGUAAUGCUUAUUCUAAGGUGAUGGAGAAACUAACACUGACAAGAAUUUUGGUGACAUUGGUAGGACUGAUUCUUUUUGUUUGGAGUUUGAAAAGUCUGAGUUAGAGAUUCUUGCUGAGAACAAGGGUGAAUCCAGGAUCCUGGAUGAUAAUGAACGUUCUGAAGAGCUUUGUAAUGAAAGAAAAUGCCAGAAGAAAGACUACUAUAACUUGCCAAAACCAAUGGAUGCUCAUGGUAAAGGUCCUUGUUGAUGCAUUUUAUUUCCAAGGCAUAUUUUGGUAGAGAUGAGCAAGGACAUGAACUGCUUCUUUGUUUCGAAGAUGAUGAUUAUGGUUAAAUGUAGCACAAAAGCAUACGGCAUUAUACAAAACCUGCAUAUUUCCAUUUCAAGAACCUAUACAUUGACAAGGCAUGUGCAUGGGGAUUGUCUCAAUGGAAAGCCCUGCAUAUUUCCAUUUUGAGAACCUGUAUACUUCCAAGGCACGUCACAUGUAGAUUGCCUCAAGGGUCUAGUUCAAAAGGUUUUUUAAACAUGGUCAAGGAUUGAUAGCUUAGAAGGUAAAA